CCAAGACAUUAUUAAAAUGCACUUGUUCAGUUUUUUGGAGGUUUAUUUUCUUGAAACACAAAGGUUAGACACCAACAGAUGGAGCUGUUGAUGCAUUAAUAAGGUUCAGUUUCACAUUUGUUUUCUGGUCUAUGGCUGGAGCUUGCUUAUAAAAAAAAAGGAGAGAGAGAGAGAGAGAGAACAAAAAAAGAACAAAACAACAAAAUCCCUAAUGCUAAGCUUUUAUCCAAGAUGUUCUGCCCACACUGAACCGGUCACCAUUUAACUUUAACCUGAACUGUGGCCCAGGAAAUCCUUCAACAUAAAUAACCUUGGAAGCUGCCAUGACCAUUUUUGGAAUAUGCUCCCUCAAUAAAUCUGUUACUUUGUUGUGCAAUGUUGAAGUGUGCAGUUGUUUCUCUGAUUAAUUAGGGCAAAAAAUAAACUUGCACGAUCAAUCCAAGCUGUGACACGUUUCAGCCCUGGCUGGAACAUGUGGUAGAAAAGGCUUUAGAGCCUUCUAAAGAGCUCUACCCUGGGACUGUAUGAUGCAUGUUUGCUUUUAAGUUUACUUGAUUUUGCUAGAUAAGGUGGUUACUAACAAAGUUUCUAAUUAAAGUUUUUGCCUGUCACAGGAUUGCCAUGGCAAGUUAGUAAGGGUAGGACUGAACAAAGUAAGAAAUCAUUUGUCUUGACCACCUGCCCUCUCUAAAGACAACGUAACAGAACUGUUUUACGUAAUAGUGUUUAUUUUAUUUCACAUAUUACCCAUGGAGAACAGCUGAUACUUUCUCUACAUCUUUCACCAGUUCGGAAUGCAAGAUUAAAAAAAAGGUAUGGAAAGAGUUUAACAGCGUUUGACAUUCACAAUAUGAAAAAUAGAGGGGAUACAAUGUCUUAAAAUGCCCUUAUGCAAUCUAUAUAUAUAUAUUUAUAUAUAAAAAAGUAUAAAAAUAAAAUAUAUUUUUCCAAAAAAAAAAAGAUACGAAUAGGACAUGACACGGGACAAUCUUAAAUAUCGAUACGAAUCUCAUGACCCACACACACCGCACUUAUAAUUAACAAAAACCAUGUACAAUUGCACUUUUCCUCUCUGUGACGUUCAAGUAUGUCGCAGUCCCCGCAGGGACUAGUGAGUGUCCGAUUCCCUGCCGGGUGCAGAUAACGCAGAGGGUAGAGCAGGUGUGGGGGACCUUUCCUUGCGGAGGCUGAACGAGGCCUGUCAAACAGUCCGGGGCAGCGGGCGAGGCCGCGGCCACGGGCUCGGGGGGCGCGCAGCCGCGGCCGCCCGGGGGCGCAC
RNAcentral lists this long non-coding RNA (1279 nucleotides) under Struthio camelus australis. RNAcentral's name for it is "lncRNA (ENSSCUG00000011336.1)". Lineage: Eukaryota; Metazoa; Chordata; Aves; Struthioniformes; Struthionidae. The record is from RNAcentral.